Molecule: non-coding RNA, 219 nt
Filed under: Clostridiales bacterium
Lineage: Bacteria; Bacillati; Bacillota; Clostridia; Eubacteriales
Description: T-box sequence
Rfam family: T-box leader
About the family: Uncharged tRNA acts as the effector for transcription antitermination of genes in the T-box leader family. T-boxes are found upstream of many aminoacyl-tRNA synthetase genes and some amino acid biosynthetic genes usually in Gram-positive bacteria.
Source: RNAcentral
AUAAAGGCAAAGAACGAAGAGAGUAGGAAAUUACAGACCACAGAGAGAGACUGUCAUCGGCUGUAAGCAGUCUUGGAAACUGGAUUUUUGAAGUGCAUUCGGGAGCUGAUCCGGCGAAGGAAAAAAGGUAGUCGGAUACGGAUGACACACGUUAAGUGUUUUGAGUGAGAGCAGGAUUGCUCUACUUAGAGUGGAACCGCGGAUAACUUCGUCUCUAAU